RNAcentral lists this non-coding RNA (782 nucleotides) under Eboraphyllus middletoni. Lineage: Eukaryota; Metazoa; Arthropoda; Insecta; Coleoptera; Cerambycidae. The record is from RNAcentral.
AAAAAGUUUUAUUUAAGCUUAAAAAAUUAAGUUAAGUUUUGUUUUAUAUGUAAAGUUUUAUGUGAGUUGAAAUUUAACUUAAAAAGUUAAUUUAUUGAUUUUGUUCGCAGUAGAGAAAUUUAAUUAUCAGUGAGAGCUGGAUUUGGAAAUAACUUUUAAUAUCAACAAAAUUUGUGCCAGCAGUUGCGGUUAAACAGGUGAUGUAAUUUAAUUUUAUUGGUUACAGUUAAAUAUAAAGGAAUAUUAAGUUUUAAUUUUUAUUUAUUAGGUGAAAUUUCUAAAUGAGUGUAAAAAUUUAUUUUUUGAGGCUGAUAAAUUCUUAUUUAAACUAGGAUUAGAUACCCUAUUAUUUUGAAUAUAAAUUUGUAUACUUGAUUAGUAAUAGAUAUGUUCUUUAAACUUAAAAAUUUUGGCGGUAUUCUAGUCCUUUCAGAGGAACCUGUCCUAUAAUCGAUGAUCCACGAUUUUCUAUACUUUUUUUAUUAGUUUAUAUAUCGUUGUAGUUUGAAUAUUUUAUUAGAUAAUUUAAUUUUCAUAAUUUUUUUUUAAAAAUAAAAUCAGAUCAAGGUGUAGCUUAUAAGAAAGAAGAGAUGGGUUACAUUAAAUUUAUUUAUAUAUAUUGGUUUUUUCAAGAAAUUGAUGUUUUGGAUUUGAAAGUAAUUUUAGUUUAAUAACUAAUUUGAUUUAGGCUCUAUAAUAUGCACAUAUCGCCCGUCGCUUUCUCUUUAAGGUGAAAUAAGUCGUAACAAAGUAGACUUACUGGAAAGUGAGUCUGGAAAGAU